GCGGGCUCGGGAUCCAGCGCUGUCAGGGCGCAUCUCCAAACUUUGACCAGCUUUAAUUUACCCUGAGCAGCGAACCACGCCGCAAGUCGGCCUCUUCUUGCAGAGAGAAAUGGAAAUGCCCAGAACAAAAGAGCUCUUAUCGCCCCAAAGGCUGGAUUUACUUAUCCUGAGGUGGGGAAACUGAGGCCCAGACCAGUUGGACCCUCCAGCAGUCGAGACACAGGCAGGACCGAAGAGUCAAAUCAACCUUGCUGAGAAGGUAGGAUUUUGAGGCAUAGUUUUCCUUGACCUCCCACCAGAUGCUGACUCUGUUUUCUUGCUAGGCUGGUCCAUCCACUUAUUUGCUUGUCUUUUAGCCACGUGUGGUCACACCACAUUGUGCAAUGCAGGGAUCUGGGCUGGCCUUCACCUGGGUUUCCUAUGCGUUCCACGGCAGCGCCGGCUGCAGCCUCACGCUGCCCCAAGGUCCAGUCUGGACGAACUGACUGCUGGUUUUGCUCAGCUGUACCAUCUGUGACCAUGAAAGUCUGAGAGAAUAAACAGAAUCAUAUUUAUGAGAAACACCCAUGGGUGCUUUCCAUAUAUCUUAUUUAUUAUCUCGUUGCAAAAAUGAGAUUCUUGACCUCAGUUCAGGCAUGUGGCUUGGCACUGUUUACAGCUAAAUCUUCUGCAAAAUUAACAUGCAGAUGGGGGCAGCAGCAAGCCAGAGCCACCAGCUAUGGGUCAUCAGGUGGCCCAAGGUCAUCCCCUUCACUUCGCUCCUCUGCCUGGCAGCUUAGCGCCCAGCCUUUGGCAUCACCUGGGGAUUACUUCUUCUUUGUUUUAUAAAUAGCCAAACAUGGACCUGGGGUAGCUGUUAAUCCCAGGGCUGGCCCUGAGAUUUCAGAAUCAUAUCUUCUUCAGAUUAAGCGGACAGGGCACAAAGCGUCGCUGACCAAAGUUUAAAAAAUGCAGACGCCAGAGUUCCUGUUGUGUCUCAGCAGAAACAAAUCCAACUAGGAUCCAUGAGGAUGUGGGUUAAGGAUCCGGCAUUGCCUUGAGCUGUGGUGUAGGUCACAGGUGUGGCUGUGGCUGUGGCUGUGGCUGUGGCUGUGGCGGAGGCCAGCAGCUGCAGCUCUGAUUCACCCCUAGCCUGGGAAUUGCCAUAUGUCGCACGUGCAGCCCUAAAAAAAGAAAAAAAGAAAAAAAAA
This 1190-nucleotide long non-coding RNA is filed under the name Sus scrofa (pig). Its description in RNAcentral is "lncRNA (ENSSSCG00030074228.1)". Lineage: Eukaryota; Metazoa; Chordata; Mammalia; Artiodactyla; Suidae. The record is from RNAcentral.